Long non-coding RNA from Oncorhynchus keta (chum salmon), 1567 nucleotides. RefSeq lists it as uncharacterized. The transcript is spliced from 3 exons. The record is from RefSeq and is a predicted model, not a curated record. NCBI's taxonomy places the organism in Eukaryota, Metazoa, Chordata, Actinopteri, Salmoniformes, Salmonidae.
UUCCACCAUUGGGGGCCAGAGCAGCGAACAGUUUUGACUGGGCUGAGCGGGAACUGUACUUCCUCAGUGGUAGGGAGGCGAGCAGGCCAGAGGUGGAUGAACGCAGUGCCCUUGUUUGGGUGUAGGGCCUGAUCAGAGCCUGGAGGUACUGAGGUGCCGUUCCCCUCACAGCUCCGUAGGCAAGCACCAUGGUCUUGUAGCGGAUGCGAGCUUCAACUGGAAGCCAGUGGAGGGUAGGAUACACACACACCACUUCACCAGCCUCCUGCAGGGUAGGAUACACACACACCACUUCACCAGCCUCCUGCAGGGUAGGAUACACACACACACCACUUCACCAGCAUCCUGCAGGGUAGGAGACACACACACACACCACUUCACCAGCCUCCUGCACGGUAGGAGACACACACACACACACCACUUCACCAGCCUCCUGCACGGUAGGAGACACACACACACACCACUUCACCAGCCUCCUGCAGGGUAGGAGACACACACACCACUUCACCGGCCUCCUGGAGGGUAGGAGACACACACACACACACCACUUCACCAGCCUCCUGGAGGGUAGGAGACACACACACCACUUCACCGGCCUCCUGGAGGGUAGGAGACACACACACACACCACUUCACCAGCCUCCUGCACGGUAGGAGACACACACACACCACUUCACCAGCCUCCUGCACGGUAGGAGACACACACACACCACUUCACCGGCCUCCUGCAGGGUAGGAGACACACACACCACUUCACCGGCCUCCUGCAGGGUAGGAGACACACACACCACUUCACCGGCCUCCUGCAGGGUAGGAGACACACACACCACUUCACCGGCCUCCUGCAGGGUAGGAGACACACACACCACUUCACCGGCCUCCUGGAGGGUAGGAGACACACACACCACUUCACCAGCCUCCUGGAGGGUAGGAGACACACACACCACUUCACCAGCCUCCUGGAGGGUAGGAGACACACACACCACUUCACCAGCCUCCUGGAGGGUAGGAGACACACACACCACUUCACCAGCCUCCUGGAGGGUAGGAGACACACACACACACACCACUUCACCAGCCUCCUGGAGGGUAGGAGACACACACACACACCACUUCACCAGCCUCCUGGAGGGUAGGAGACACACACACACACCACUUCACCAGCCUCCUGGAGGGUAGGAGACACACACACACACCACUUCACCAGCCUCCUGGAGGGUAGGAGACACACACACCACUUCACCAGCCUCCUGGAGGGUAGGAGACACACACACCACUUCACCAGCCUCCUGGAGGGUAGGAGACACACACACCACUUCACCAGCCUCCUGGAGGGUAGGAGACACACACACCACUUCACCAGCCUCCUGGAGGGUAGGAGACACACACACCACUUCACCAGCCUCCUGGAGGGUAGGAGACACACACACCACUUCACCAGCCUCCUGGAGGGUAGGAGACACACACACCACUUCACCACCUCUCGACACUGGUGGAGAUGUUGUGUCUGACCCUCACCACCUGGGGGUGAUUUGAUUGGAGUGUGUGUGUAUGCUCUCUCUCUCUUU